This 46-nucleotide transfer RNA is filed under the name Vitis sp. Shui et al. 66799. Its description in RNAcentral is "partial tRNA-Leu". The record is from RNAcentral. Lineage: Eukaryota; Viridiplantae; Streptophyta; Magnoliopsida; Vitales; Vitaceae.
AAAUCCGUCGACUUUAAAAAUCGUGAGGGUUCAAGUCCCUCUAUCC